AACGAAUGCUGGCGGCAGGCCUAACACAUGCAAGUCGAGCGGACCCUUCGGGGUUAGCGGCGGACGGGUGAGUAACGCGUGGGAAUAUGCCCUUCUCUACGGAAUAGUCCUGGGAAACUGGGGGUAAUACCGUAUACGCCCUUUGGGGGAAAGAUUUAUCGGGGAAGGAUUAGCCCGCGUUGGAUUAGGUAGUUGGUGGGGUAAUGGCCUACCAAGCCGACGAUCCAUAGCUGGUUUGAGAGGAUGAUCAGCCACACUGGGACUGAGACACGGCCCAGACUCCUACGGGAGGCAGCAGUGGGGAAUCUUAGACAAUGGGGGCAACCCUGAUCUAGCCAUGCCGCGUGAGUGAUGAAGGCCUUAGGGUUGUAAAGCUCUUUCAGCUGGGAAGAUAAUGACGGUACCAGCAGAAGAAGCCCCGGCUAACUCCGUG
This 433-nucleotide ribosomal RNA is filed under the name uncultured bacterium. RNAcentral describes it as "partial 16S ribosomal RNA". It matches the Rfam family "Bacterial small subunit ribosomal RNA", at positions 29 to 507 of the family's 1533-position model. The record is from RNAcentral.